CCCUUGGAGGCGUGGCUUCCGGAGCUAACGCGUUAAGUCGACCGCCUGGGGAGUACGGCCGCAAGGUUAAAACUCAAAUGAAUUGACGGGGGCCCGCACAAGCGGUGGAGCAUGUGGUUUAAUUCGAUGCAACGCGAAGAACCUUACCUGGCCUUGACAUCCAGAGAACUUAGCAGAGAUGCUUUGGUGCCUUCGGGAACUCUGAGACAGGUGCUGCAUGGCUGUCGUCAGCUCGUGUUGUGAAAUGUUGGGUUAAGUCCCGCAACGAGCGCAACCCUUAUCCUUUGUUGCCAGCGGUUCGGCCGGGAACUCAAAGGAGACUGCCGGUGAUAAACCGGAGGAAGGUGGGGAUGACGUCAAGUCAUCAUGGCCCUUACGGCCAGGGCUACACACGUGCUACAAUGGCGCAUACAAAGAGAAGCGACCUCGCGAGAGCAAGCGGACCUCAUAAAGUGCGUCGUAGUCCGGAUUGGAGUCUGCAACUCGACUCCAUGAAGUCGGAAUCGCUAGUAAUCGUAGAUCAGAAUGCUACGGUGAAUACGUUCCCGGGCCUUGUACACACCGCCCGUCACACCAUGGGAGUGGGUUGCAAAAGAAGUAGGUAGCUUAACCUUCGGGAGGGCGCUUACCACUUUGUGAUUCAUGACUGGGGUGAAGUCGUAACA
RNAcentral lists this ribosomal RNA (665 nucleotides) under Pantoea dispersa. Its description in RNAcentral is "bacterial SSU rRNA". It matches the Rfam family "Bacterial small subunit ribosomal RNA", at positions 829 to 1493 of the family's 1533-position model. Lineage: Bacteria; Pseudomonadati; Pseudomonadota; Gammaproteobacteria; Enterobacterales; Erwiniaceae. The record is from RNAcentral.